Molecule: ribosomal RNA, 253 nt
Filed under: uncultured bacterium
Lineage: Bacteria
Description: partial 16S ribosomal RNA
Rfam family: Bacterial small subunit ribosomal RNA
Source: RNAcentral
UACGUAGGGGGCAAGCGUUGUCCGGAUUUAUUGGGCGUAAAGGGCGCGCAGGCGGCCUUUUAAGUCAGUUGUGAAAGGUCUCGGCUCAACCGAGGAGUUGCAGCUGAAACUGGAAGGCUUGAGUGCAGGAGAGGAGAGCGGAAUUCUCGGUGUAGCGGUGGAAUGCGUAGAGAUCGGGAGGAACACCAGUGGCGAAGGCGGCUCUCUGGCCUGUAACUGACGCUGAGGCGCGAAAGCGUGGGGAGCAAACAGG